This 832-nucleotide ribosomal RNA is filed under the name Mycobacterium tuberculosis. RNAcentral's name for it is "bacterial SSU rRNA". It matches the Rfam family "Bacterial small subunit ribosomal RNA", at positions 108 to 938 of the family's 1533-position model. The record is from RNAcentral. Lineage: Bacteria; Bacillati; Actinomycetota; Actinomycetes; Mycobacteriales; Mycobacteriaceae.
GAGUAACACGUGGGUGAUCUGCCCUGCACUUCGGGAUAAGCCUGGGAAACUGGGUCUAAUACCGGAUAGGACCACGGGAUGCAUGUCUUGUGGUGGAAAGCGCUUUAGCGGUGUGGGAUGAGCCCGCGGCCUAUCAGCUUGUUGGUGGGGUGACGGCCUACCAAGGCGACGACGGGUAGCCGGCCUGAGAGGGUGUCCGGCCACACUGGGACUGAGAUACGGCCCAGACUCCUACGGGAGGCAGCAGUGGGGAAUAUUGCACAAUGGGCGCAAGCCUGAUGCAGCGACGCCGCGUGGGGGAUGACGGCCUUCGGGUUGUAAACCUCUUUCACCAUCGACGAAGGUCCGGGUUCUCUCGGAUUGACGGUAGGUGGAGAAGAAGCACCGGCCAACUACGUGCCAGCAGCCGCGGUAAUACGUAGGGUGCGAGCGUUGUCCGGAAUUACUGGGCGUAAAGAGCUCGUAGGUGGUUUGUCGCGUUGUUCGUGAAAUCUCACGGCUUAACUGUGAGCGUGCGGGCGAUACGGGCAGACUAGAGUACUGCAGGGGAGACUGGAAUUCCUGGUGUAGCGGUGGAAUGCGCAGAUAUCAGGAGGAACACCGGUGGCGAAGGCGGGUCUCUGGGCAGUAACUGACGCUGAGGAGCGAAAGCGUGGGGAGCGAACAGGAUUAGAUACCCUGGUAGUCCACGCCGUAAACGGUGGGUACUAGGUGUGGGUUUCCUUCCUUGGGAUCCGUGCCGUAGCUAACGCAUUAAGUACCCCGCCUGGGGAGUACGGCCGCAAGGCUAAAACUCAAAGGAAUUGACGGGGGCCCGCACAAGCGGCGGAGC